Molecule: long non-coding RNA, 3713 nt
Organism: Gadus macrocephalus (Pacific cod)
Lineage: Eukaryota; Metazoa; Chordata; Actinopteri; Gadiformes; Gadidae
Exons: 4
Source: RefSeq, a predicted model, not a curated record
UGUAGUCCUACUUGUACAGUUUAUCAAGAUUACGUUUUAUUUUAUGUAUAUAUUUUCUAAUUAUUAUUCUCAUCUUUAUCAUAUCCAUAUUUAUUCAAAUAUUCUUUCCUGUGUGAAAAUAAUAAUAAUCACUUGGUUAAUUGCAACACCUUCUUUGGUCCAAUUGCAUUAGAUUAUCAUCACUGUUGUCCGAUUAAAACAAAAAACAAAACUAAAACUAAACCUAAAGAAAAACCAAUUGGCCAUAAUGUGGAUAUCCACUGCGUGUCUCCCUGUGACUCUCUCCCUCCCUCAGGAGAACGCGCUCUCUCUCUCCCUCCUCAGUACGGGGUGCUGUUUGGUGCAAGUCAACAGAUAAGGGUGGAAUGUGGCUUCUCUCUCUCUCUCUGCGUGUCUCUCUCCCACGUUGGGUGCGGCCAUAACGCCUUGAAGCGCGCGUGCUCCGGGGGCUGGGUGUGGGAGAAGCCAGCAGAGGGGUUGUUUAGGUGAAGCCUAUGGACAGAGACUACAAAGAACUUCAAACAUGGCAGACAGGGAACUACAAAUUUAUCAAAGCCUGAAAACUCAACAGAGCUCUCUACCUGCAUUCCUGGGAUAUGUGGUAUUCUAUGGCGUAUGGCCACCACAUGCUUUUACUUUUAGGAGAGUACACUCUCUAUAUCCUUUCUCUGUACUGUGUGUUAGUGCGUCUCUCUGUACUGCCUGAAUGGUUUAGGUCGACAAAUGGGGGUGAAAUGUGUUCUCUCUCUCUCACCCUUCCUCACUCCCCUUAGGGUCAAGCAGCACCUAGGACUGUUAACAGAUAAGCCUGGAAUGCAAUAUCCUCCACUCCCUAUCGUGGAACAAGGCCUAGUAACUAUCUCACACAAUUUUAAGCACAUAAGCUGCCCCCACAUAGCCACUAGGAAGCAGGAUCGAACACACAAGCUGCAUUACCCUCACAUAGCCACUAGGAAGCAGGAUCGAACACACAAGCUGCAUUACCUUCACAUAGCCACUAGGAAGCAGGAUCGAACACACAAGCUGCAAUAACUACUCCAGCCACAGAUGGCAUCACCUUUAGACAGGUGAGGAGUGCGGCGGCAAUAUGUCACACCGGCCACGCCCACUUCACAUAGGCCACGCCCACUUGAUAGAAACCAGCGCAGAGUUCAGAUUUAGGCCAGAACUAAUAGGUAGCCCCGCCGAGAGGACCGGGCCUAAGCCCGGGACUCGAAGUAGUGCACGAUAUUAUUUUCAAUACGUGUUGGAUACAAUUCCCUCUCUUUUGCUUCAUAGUUACCAUAGUUACCAGUUAGGCCUACUUUAACAAAUAAAGUGAGUUAAAUGCGACAACGGAUUGGACUACUUUCUUCAGAAAAAAAAAAACACACAAAGAGAUCCUUCUGUCCCUGCAUUCACAAUCCCAUCUUGCCACAUCCGUUCCCAAAUAACUUUUCACUAUUAUAAAUAACUUUACUGGUGCUCCCCCUUUCCAGAUUUCUACAGUUUCAAGACUACGAAGCUGACCACCGAAAUUGGUACAGGCCUCGUCAGGCCUCACCAAAAUACCCUCACAGGUUCUAACUUCCAUACGAUUCAAGGGAGGGGAACUGCAACACGAGUUGGAGUAGAGGACUUCAACUAUGGGGGACGGGUACUAAAAGAUCUCGGGGCCUGACAGCUAAACGGAGUCUCUGUCCGUGUUUCUGAAGCAACCGUCCACUCUCAGAAGAACACCCUGUCUAUCGCUCCCUCCAACAGACUAGAGGAGGGAAAGUGGUCCCUCUCGAUCGUCCUCCGACUUUAGCCCUCCUUGUUUAUCUCUCGCUCCCUCUCACACAAACGCACAUUGACAUGUGCAUGCUGUCUGUCAUUCACACUGACUUCACACACAGCUUCUCUCGUACCCACAAAGAUUAACAAACUAACAAUUAAUAUGAACAGAUCAUAAAGUCAGACACCCGCACUCCAUUAGCAGCCAGGAGGCUUGCUCCUCUAUCUGCUACAGUGCACCUCUCACACACACGGACCUCUCUCAUUCUGUCUCCUCUAAACGCACACACAGAAAAAUACCAACAGAACUCCACAGCAAAAUAGCUUUACAUAGCGAGUGAACGUUGCGCACAUAGCGAGGUUAUUCACACAAAAAGCCUUGUUAUUGAAGCAGGGUAGCACCACAUGGAUAGCAGUGUUGCUGUGUCAGAUUCCAACCGAUGCCUUCUCACUGCAAGGAGAAUCUUCUCUGGACCCGCCAGACUUCUAUCACGCACGUUGCCCUUUAAGCCGGACCACAAGUGUCCCUCGACUUCUAACAUCUAUGCGGAGCCAGACUUAAUGUCCCUCGACCCCUUGUUGAAGCCAGACUAUAUAGAGUCCCUCAACUUCUAACAAAUGUAUACAAUUCUGACCCUUUGCUUCCUCCAUUAGUCAUACAAAAAAUAUUAUUUUAAUUCAAUCUCCUUCAGGGCUCUCAGCGAUUUUUCAAAGCGUACACGGCGUGAUGUUGGCUUCAACCACUUCCACCUAACAUUUCUAAGUCUAAUCCUAAUGCAGGUUCAGUCUUAAAGACAAUAGGUUCUGCUAACCUGUUUUGUGGCGCCUGGGGAAGGGAUGGUGAGCCACGCCUGUCGCUCGCCUCUGCAGCUCUCCCGGUCCUUGGCCUUUCCUCAGAAUCACGUCGGGGUCACCAUAUUGCCGCGUUCUUUUGGAAAAAAGUCUGCAGAUUCAGGAUCGCUUUAACUCACUUUAUUUGGUAAUGUUUUUGACUAGUCUCUAGGAAGCAAAAGGAGGGGAAUUGUAUGGGCACGCUUGGAGAUACACUUAGUAGGGCAUCAGAAGAUGUGUUACCUGGAGCGUUCUAGCCCCCUGGGCUAUGUGUUGUGACUUAUCUACUGGGCAGGCGUGGACUCAGUUAUGUGCUCUGAUUGGCUAAGCAUGGUGCUGAACUCCCGCCCCCUGGAUACCCGUAUGUGUCUUUAUGCUGUCCCUUGCGGCUAUGUGUUGGCAUUGCAACUUUGUUUGUGGCUAUGUGCGGGAAUUACACUUGUUCUUGUGUCCCUGAGCAUCUGGGUCUCUCGAACAUCUUGACCGCUCGUAUCUCUAGAAUUGACACAUGAUGAAUGGCCUCCUUUAUGAUCUGGACGCCUCCCUAGGCUCUGGAUCCCUCCUUAGCGUGGGAAAGAAGACUCUUUAAUUGGUAAGGGCACAUGUGGCCUGUUGGUAUGAAUGUGUGAAUUAUGUUACAACACCUCUAAGCAAUCUUUGCUUUAUGAAUCACAGAGUGCCUACAAGUGUGCGCAGCUGAAUCAGCUUCAAAUUCCGCCCUGUACACGCCCCUUUUUAACCAUAAAUGGUCAAUGCAAACGACCUCAUGAAUGUGAUCUGCAUAUAAAACAGUAUCAGAUGCAAGUAUUAUGUCUUGUCGGAAACAUUGGCAGAAGGACUGAGAAAAGCAAAAAAGCGAAAUUUCACAGAGGUUGAAGUGUGGGUGAGGUGGAGGCCCGAAAAGUAGUUUUGUUCGGCGGUCACGGGAUUGGGAUCACUAACAAAAAAAACAGAGUGAGUGGCAACAUGUUGCUGCAGCAGUGAACUCUGUCAGUGGCACGGAGCGCACAGUCCCAGGAUUAAAAAAAGAAGUGGACAUAAAGGUACAUAUUUUUAUGUACCAAUAAAUCGUUAUGGUCCCUGAAGACCCUCUCCCUCCGUAUCCUGCCAUUUGCAUGGUCCUCCAG